CAGCCGCCGCGGGAAUACAGAGGGUGCAAGCGUUAAUCGGAAUUACUGGGCGUAAAGCGCGCGUAGGUGGUUUGUUAAGUUGGAUGUGAAAUCCCCGGGCUCAACCUGGGAACUGCAUUCAAAACUGACUGACUAGAGUAUGGUAGAGGGUGGUGGAAUUUCCUGUGUAGCGGUGAAAUGCGUAGAUAUAGGAAGGAACACCAGUGGCGAAGGCGACCACCUGGACUAAUACUGACACUGAGAGACGAAAGCUAGGGGAGCAAAUGGGAUUAGAUACCCGCGUAGUCCCUGUCUCUUAUAU
RNAcentral lists this ribosomal RNA (301 nucleotides) under uncultured bacterium. RNAcentral describes it as "partial 16S ribosomal RNA". It matches the Rfam family "Bacterial small subunit ribosomal RNA", at positions 509 to 809 of the family's 1533-position model. The record is from RNAcentral.